AGAGAGUAAUUCUUCUCUAAUUUAUUGAUAGUGGGGUGUGGAAAUCACUUAUGUAGUAACACUGCCGACCUAGUAUAAACGGUAUUAUCAAGCCGUAACUGGUGGAAGAUGUAGGUUCGAAUCCUACGGUCGGUAAGAACUGGAUAACUGGUGCUUUUAACGUAAAAGCUUCCGAGGUUAGUUGCGCACUGCCUAAACCACGCGGUAGUUGGUUCCAGACUAACCAACCAGUCUGCUGAAUAGUUUUAUUACGAUUUAACUAUGUCCAGGCUAAAGAAGAACUUUAGAAGGUAUUCUAGGUAGUGAAGUUUUUCCUCCAUAUCGGAGUAGUUUUUCAAGCUACCAACAAAGUGGGAAAGGAUCACGUGAAAGUCGUGACUAAUGGUGCACAACAUACAGGUAAACGCGCGAUAACUCCUGUUGAGGGCAGCAAAAGGUAGGGAGUCAUGACCCUAACCUAACCGAGCACUCGUAUAUGCAGUGUAUAACCACUAAGUCACCUUGACUUAAACUGGAAUACUUACUUUAUAAGACUUAUGAGUAAUCUGCCAGAUGGCGACCUUAUAUGCAUAAGUAAGUAUAGUCACCUUGACAUAAACUGGAAAAUAAUAGACGUUACUGUAUUUUGUCUUGAAAUACUUAAUGAGUGAGACUUAUGACUCUCCCGGUAUCGUCUGUAUUUUUAAGAGUUUUUACGAGAGUUCUUAAAAAUACUUAAA
RNAcentral lists this unclassified non-coding RNA (719 nucleotides) under Tequintavirus T5. RNAcentral's name for it is "Escherichia virus T5 RNAX". The stretch from base 64 to 135 matches the Rfam family "tRNA". The record is from RNAcentral. Lineage: Duplodnaviria; Heunggongvirae; Uroviricota; Caudoviricetes; Demerecviridae. RNAcentral also lists the same sequence under 1 other name.